AGGCAAAUCCGUUGUAUAAUCCGAAGACGUGAUGUGGAGCGAAAUAAAGUAGCAAAGCGUGUGAGCCAUGUGCCGAGAAAAGCUGCUAUUGUGUAAUGCGUGCCCGUACCGUAAACCGACACAGGUGGAUGAGGAGAGAAUCCUAAGGCCGGCGGAAGAAGCAUUGUUAAGGAAUUCGGCAAAAUGACCCCGUAACUUCGGGAGAAGGGGUGCCUGCGAGAGCAGGCCGCAGAGAAUAGGCUCAAGCAACUGUUUAGCAAAAACACAGGUCUAUGCGAAACCGAAAGGUGAAGUAUAUGGGCUGACGCCUGCCCGGUGCUGGAAGGUUAAGAGGAGAGGUUAGCGUAAGCGAAGCUUUGAAUUUAAGCCCCAGUAAACGGCGGCCGUAACUAUAACGGUCCUAAGGUAGCGAAAUUCCUUGUCGGGUAAGUUCCGACCCGCACGAAAGGCGUAAUGAUUUGAGCACUGUCUCGACAAUGCAUCCGGUGAAAUUGAAGUACCAGUGAAGAUGCUGGUUACCCGCGCCAGGACGGAAAGACCCCAUGGAGCUUUACUCCAGUUUGAUACUGGGAUUCGGUACUGCAUGUACAGGAUAGGUGGGAGACGAAGAAGGAUGGACGCCAGUCUGUCCGGAGUCGCUGUUGGGAUACCACCCCUGUAGUACUGGGUUUCUAACCAGUUGCCAUGAACUGGCAAUGGGACAAUGUCAGGCGGGGAGUUUGACUGGGGCGGUCGCCUCCGAAAGGGUAUCGGAGGCGCUCAAAGGUUCCCUCAGAAUGGUUGGAAACCAUUUGAAGAGUGCAAAGGCAGAAGGGAGCUUGACUGCGACACCGACGGGUGGAGCAGGUACGAAAGUAGGACUUAGUGAUCCGGUGGUAUAAAGUGGGAUUGCCAUCGCUCAACGGAUAAAAGCUACCCUGGGGAUAACAGGCUUAUCACUCCCAAGAGUUCACAUCGACGGAGUGGUUUGGCACCUCGAUGUCGGCUCAUCGCAUCCUGGGGCUGUAGCAGGUCCCAAGGGUUGGGCUGUUCGCCCAUUAAAGCGGUACGCGAGCUGGGUUCAGAACGUCGUGAGACAGUUCGGUCCCUAUCCGGCGCGGGCGGAGGAUAUUUGAGAGGAGCUGUCCUUAGUACGAGAGGACCGGGAUGGACGGACCACUGGUGUAUCUGUUGUCGACCAACGGCAUGGCAGAGUAGCCAAGUCUGGAAGGGAUAAACGCUGAAGGCAUCUAAGCGUGAAGCCCCCCUCAAGAUGAGAUAUCCCUCCUUCGGGAGUAAGACCCCUUGAAGACUACAAGGUAGAUAGGGCAGAGGUGGAAGCAUGGCAACAUGUGGAGCUGACUGUUACUAAUAGGUCGAGGGCUUAAUCUG
This 1371-nucleotide ribosomal RNA is filed under the name Agathobacter rectalis. Its description in RNAcentral is "partial 23S ribosomal RNA". It matches the Rfam family "Bacterial large subunit ribosomal RNA", at positions 1534 to 2925 of the family's 2925-position model. The record is from RNAcentral. Lineage: Bacteria; Bacillati; Bacillota; Clostridia; Lachnospirales; Lachnospiraceae.